AGCUUUCUGUAUCCGUGCUGAGAUUUCGUCAUACAUCAGACCACGAGGGCUAAUGAGAAUCACAAAAUAAUUGAGGCG
Molecule: microRNA precursor, 78 nt
Filed under: Schistosoma curassoni
Lineage: Eukaryota; Metazoa; Platyhelminthes; Trematoda; Strigeidida; Schistosomatidae
Description: mir-3492 microRNA precursor family
Rfam family: mir-3492 microRNA precursor family
Source: Rfam by way of RNAcentral